Molecule: RNA transcript, 1317 nt
Organism: Hydractinia symbiolongicarpus
Lineage: Eukaryota; Metazoa; Cnidaria; Hydrozoa; Anthoathecata; Hydractiniidae
Gene name: transcription elongation factor 1 homolog
Exons: 4
Source: RefSeq, a predicted model, not a curated record
UUUAUAAGCGAUCAUAAAAGUGUACUUGAAAUCGUUCCGUGGUGUUCUGCAUUUCACUUGAAGCUGUCAAACUUAAAUUUUCUGUUAUUUGUUAUAUUUAACCGUACUGGUUAAUAUUCAGGAAUGGGAAGAAGGAGGUCAAAAAGAAAAGCCCCCACUAAAAAGAAGACGUUGGGGACUUUAGAGAAUCAAUUCAAUUGUCCGUUCUGCAAUCACGAAAAAUCAUGUGAUGUGCAAAUGGACAAAACAAGAAAUGUUGGACAUAUAUCAUGUCGCGUUUGUUCAGAAGACUUUCAAACACCCAUCACAUAUUUAUCAGAGCCUGUGGAUGUGUUUGGUGACUGGAUAGAUGCUUGUGAAGCGGCGAAUGAUUAGAUUGUAACUGCAAUGAAGGUAAACAAACCCUUGAUUGUAAUACUUCCUUAUUAUGGUUAUGUUCCAUCGACGCAAUGUCUUGCAUAUAAAAUUAAUAUAAUUUUUCGGUGAAAGUUUUUGGUGAGAACAUUAAAUAUGGCGGCAAAGUUACCGACCGUAAGAUUUGCUGUAAAUAGUGUACAGUUAUUUGAACAAUGAUGCAGUACGACUUUCUUCUUUGCGUCUUAAUGUUUUUGUAUGUUUUAAAAAAUGCGUCGUGUUAGAAGGACUGAAUUUUCAAACAUCAUCACAUCGUCUUUUAAUCUUGUUUUCUAUGUUUCUGAAAAAAAGUGUUUUUAGUAUUGUGGCCCGUUUGGUGUGUUUAUCUUGAUUUUGUCAAUGUUUGAUUUCGUACCAAUUUUAUACUUUUCUGCUCUUUCACGAAGACGGUAAAAAUCUAAAGUCAACCCCCUGUGCUGUAGCCUAGAGAUUUUGGUUUAUUAUUUAUGGAAUCUUCAGCUUUUUUUUUCUGUCGCCGUCUAUAAUUUUUAGUUGUAGUUACGACGUAUAAUUUGUAAAUUUUAGCGCUAAUUCACAGGAUCUAGUCCAUUUUUCUGAAGAGAAAAUGACUCUGUUUUUCUGAAGGUCCUAACUUCUAUCACCUCUAAAAUAUCCGUCAUUUAGACAUCACUUUCACGUUAUGAUGAUAUAUGUACAUGCGAAGAAAGUUAUGUUUAGACCGACGUUUUCAGGUUUUUAUUUUGUUUGUUUUUAAGCAUUGAUCUUAAGACUUCGCAGUUUUUACUUUUUUGUUUAUGAAUGCUAGAAGGACGUAAAAGUAUGUAAAAAAAGUUCCCUUAUCACUUUAGCCAUGCGGUUACUUCUUCAAUUACAUAACCCAGUGAAAGCAAGGAGAUACCUCAAUACAGCUUACUCCCGUAAAAAGAAGUUUGGGAAGUUGUC